GCCAGGUGUGGUGGCGCACACCUGUAAUCCCAGCUACUUAGGAGGCUGAGGCAGGAGAAUCACUUGAACCUGGGAGGAGGAGGUUGCAGUGAGCCGAGGUCGCGCCACUGCACUCUAGCCUGGGUGACACAGUGAGACUCCAUCUCAA
This 148-nucleotide non-coding RNA is filed under the name Gorilla gorilla gorilla (western lowland gorilla). The record is from Rfam by way of RNAcentral. Lineage: Eukaryota; Metazoa; Chordata; Mammalia; Primates; Hominidae.